UUGNUNCCCNNGCGGACUUAAGCAUAUCAAUAAGCGGAGGAAAAGAAACUAACAAGGAUUCCCCUAGUAACUGCGAGUGAAGCGGGAAAAGCUCAAAUUUGAAAGCUGGCGUAAGCCCGCGUUGUAAUCUAGAGAAGUGUUUUCAGCCGCUGCCCCGGAAAAGUCCCUUGGAACAGGGCGUCAUAGAGGGUGAGAAUCCCGUCUUUGCCGGACAAACAGCGUCUAUGUGAGGCACUCUCGAAGAGUCGAGUUGUUUGGGAAUGCAGCUCAAAAUGGGUGGUAAAUUCCAUCUAAAGCUAAAUAUUGGUGGGAGACCGAUAGCGAACAAGUACCGUGAGGGAAAGAUGAAAAGCACUUUGGAAAGAGAGUUAAACAGUACGUGAAAUUGCUGAAAGGGAAGCGCUUGGAGUUAGUCGCGUUGGCCGGGACUCAGCCGUCAAGGUGUAUUUCCUGGUUAACGGGCCAGCAUCAGUUUUGAACGUGGAACAAGGGCAGGAGAAAUGUGGCAACCUCGGUUGUGUUAUAGUCUCCUGUCGUACGCCACGAUUGGGACUGAGGAAUGCCUUUUGUAGGAUGCUGGCGUAAUAGCUCUAAGCGACCCGUCUUGAAACACGGACCAAGGAGUCUAACAUGUCUGCGAGUGUUUGGGUGUCAAACCCGUACGCGUAAUGAAAGUGAACGUAGGUGGGAGGCGUAAGCCGCACCAUCGACCGAUCCGGAUCUCUUGUGAUGGAUUUGAGUAAGAGCAUAUAUGUUGGGACCCGAAAGAUGGUGAACUAUGCCUGAAUAGGGCGAAGCCAGAGGAAACUCUGGUGGAGGCUCGUAGCGAUUCUGACGUGCAAAUCGAUCGUCAAAUUUGGGUAUAGGGGCGAAAGACUAAUCGAACCAUCUAGUAGCUGGUUCCUGC
This 907-nucleotide ribosomal RNA is filed under the name Dendrodacrys sp. 1 AS-2022. RNAcentral describes it as "partial large subunit ribosomal RNA". It matches the Rfam family "Eukaryotic large subunit ribosomal RNA", at positions 24 to 961 of the family's 3401-position model. The record is from RNAcentral. Lineage: Eukaryota; Fungi; Basidiomycota; Dacrymycetes; Dacrymycetales; Dacrymycetaceae.